This 393-nucleotide ribosomal RNA is filed under the name uncultured bacterium. Its description in RNAcentral is "partial 16S ribosomal RNA". It matches the Rfam family "Bacterial small subunit ribosomal RNA", at positions 523 to 918 of the family's 1533-position model. The record is from RNAcentral.
AUACGUAGGUGACAAGCGUUAUCCGGAUUUACUGGGCGUAAAGGGCGUGUAGGCGGUCUUGCAAGUCAGAAGUGAAAUUCCUGAGCUCAACUCGGGCGCUGCUUCUGAAACUGCAGGACUUGAGUGCUGGAGGGGAUAGCGGAAUUCCUAGUGGAGCGGUAAAAUGCGCAGAUAUUAGGAAGAACACCGGUGGCGAAGGCGGCUAUCUGGACAGUAACUGACGCUGAGGCGCGAAAGCGUGGGGAGCAAACAGGAUUAGAUACCCUGGUAGUCCACACAGUAAACGAUGAUGGCUAACCGCUGGGCUUAUCAGUUCAGUGGCCAAGCGAAAGCGAUAUGCCAUCCACCAGGGGAGUACGACCGCAAGGUUGAAACUCAAAUGAAUGGACGGGG